GUGCCUCGCGGCGCCAGGCACUGUUCUACAGACGAGAGAUACGGCAGUGACAGAGAGGACGUCUCACCUGUCAUGGAGCUGACAUCCUCAUCAGGGGGAGAAUCAACACAUAAGGAAACAGGAGGUGAGAUGCUGUGGUGAAAGGCUGGUUUCAAAUUUGGCCACCAUGGAGCUUGGGUUGGUUUCAACUGUUUCCCAUCAAUGUUUUUCUGGCUUCUGGACAAGGCUUGACAGAAGAGAGAGAAGAUGCAAGACAGACUCAGGAUACCUGUAUCUGCAUCCAGGCUCCGCCACUGACAGGUUAUUUGAUCUGAGACAAGUCACUCACCUCUAACAGCCUUGUUCCUCUCAUAUAAACUUGAAAGCAUAAUAAUAACUGCAUUAGAAUAAUAAUGAUUUACUUGACGUUAGGCUCAGAUAAGAGGAUGACUGAAAAUGCUCUGCAAACUGCAAUUUACUGUACAAAUGUUAAUUGCUCUGGUUGCUGUUGUUGUUUAUAGUAAGAGACUGAAUGACGCUGAAGAGAGAGAACAGUAGCUCCUAGAGGAAACUUUGAGGCCUACUAGGAGGAAGCCUGGGAAGGGAGAAAAGUAAGCAAAAAGGAGGAAAAAAAGGUUUUUUAGCUCCCUAGACACUGGGCAUCAGAGGGACAGCUCUCUUGGUUGCAGGGGAGGCUGAGGAAGCCCAGAGCCUGAAGGCAGCAGGAGAGGCUCUAGAGAGGCCAGAUUUCAGGGGGCCACACUGCCACUCAGGGGCUGAGGAUCAGACCAUUGGAACUGGGCACACCAGAUCAGAGUGUCCCACUCAGGGCCAAUCGCAGGCCUAGCCCAACUGUCCAGGACUCGCAUUCACAAUGGCCUCAAAUUAGACCUUUGAUGCUGUUUCCAGAUGAGUUUGUGUAGUCACGGAGAUACUGACAGAGUGAGAUGUUACUCACUCAGCUUUAAAUGUGUGUCUCAUCUUAAGCUGUGCCUUUCUCUAGUGCAUUGGGAAUUCAAUUUUUAUAAAUCCUUUGAUCAUAUUGUGGAUAUCGCAAUUAUAAAUUUUUUAAUAAAAAUAUUGAUUUGUUAAAUGUAAAUUUUUUUUUUUUUGAGAAAGAUUAGCCCUGAGCUAACAUCCACUGUCAAUCCUCCUCUUUGUGCUG
Molecule: long non-coding RNA, 1144 nt
Organism: Equus quagga
Lineage: Eukaryota; Metazoa; Chordata; Mammalia; Perissodactyla; Equidae
Exons: 3
Source: RefSeq, a predicted model, not a curated record